RNAcentral lists this ribosomal RNA (1470 nucleotides) under metagenome. Its description in RNAcentral is "bacterial SSU rRNA". It matches the Rfam family "Bacterial small subunit ribosomal RNA". The record is from RNAcentral.
AGAGUUUGAUCCUGGCUCAGGACGAACGCUGGCGGCACGCUUAACACAUGCAAGUCGAACGAGAGAAGAGGAGCUUGCUUUUCUGAUCUAGUGGCGGACGGGUGAGUAACACGUGAGCAAUCUGCCUUUCAGAGGGGGAUACCGAUUGGAAACGAUCGUUAAUACCGCAUAACAUAAUUGAACCGCAUGAUUUGAUUAUCAAAGAUUUAUCGCUGAAAGAUGAGCUCGCGUCUGAUUAGCUAGUUGGUAAGGUAACGGCUUACCAAGGCGACGAUCAGUAGCCGGACUGAGAGGUUGAUCGGCCACGUUGGGACUGAGACACGGCCCAGACUCCUACGGGAGGCAGCAGUGGGGAAUAUUGCACAAUGGAGGAAACUCUGAUGCAGCGAUGCCGCGUGAGGGAAGAAGGUUUUAGGAUUGUAAACCUCUGUCUUCAGGGACGAAAAAAGACGGUACCUGAGGAGGAAGCUCCGGCUAACUACGUGCCAGCAGCCGCGGUAAUACGUAGGGAGCGAGCGUUGUCCGGAAUUACUGGGUGUAAAGGGAGCGUAGGCGGGAUCGCAAGUCAGAUGUGAAAACUAUGGGCUUAACCCAUAAACUGCAUUUGAAACUGUGGUUCUUGAGUGAAGUAGAGGUAAGCGGAAUUCCUAGUGUAGCGGUGAAAUGCGUAGAUAUUAGGAGGAACAUCAGUGGCGAAGGCGGCUUACUGGGCUUUAACUGACGCUGAGGCUCGAAAGCGUGGGGAGCAAACAGGAUUAGAUACCCUGGUAGUCCACGCCGUAAACGAUGAUUACUAGGUGUGGGGGGACUGACCCCUUCCGUGCCGCAGCAAACGCAAUAAGUAAUCCACCUGGGGAGUACGACCGCAAGGUUGAAACUCGAAGGAAUUGACGGGGGCCCGCACAAGCAGUGGAGUAUGUGGAUUAAUUCGAAGCAACGCGAAGAACCUUACCAGGUCUUGACAUCGUAUGCAUAGCUCAGAGAUGAGUGAAAUCUCUUCGGAGACAUAUAGACAGGUGGUGCAUGGUUGUCGUCAGCUCGUGUCGUGAGAUGUUGGGUUAAGUCCCGCAACGAGCGCAACCCUUACUGUUAGUUGCUACGCAAGAGCACUCUAGCAGGACUGCCGUUGACAAAACGGAGGAAGGUGGGGAUGACGUCAAAUCAUCAUGCCCCUUAUGACCUGGGCCUCACACGUACUACAAUGGCUGUCAACAGAGGGAAGCAAAGCCGCGAGGUGGAGCGAACCCCUAAAAGCAGUCUUAGUUCGGAUUGUAGGCUGCAACCCGCCUACAUGAAGUCGGAAUUGCUAGUAAUCGCAGAUCAGCAUGCUGCGGUGAAUACGUUCCCGGGCCUUGUACACACCGCCCGUCACGCCAUGGGAGUCGGUAACACCCGAAGCCUGUAGUCUAACCGCAAGGAGGACGCAGUCGAAGGUGGGAUUGAUGACUGGGGUGAAGUCGUAACAAGGUA